UUCGGAACGGGUUAGUGGCGCACGGGUCGAGUAACACGUAGGUGACUACCCCAGAUGGGGGAUAACUUCUCGAAAGAGAGGCUAAUACCGCAUACACUCGGUCAGUUCAUUUGGCCGAGCAAAGCUCCGGCGCUUUGGACGGGCCUGCGUCCGAUUAGCUAGUUGGUAGGGUAAUGGCUUACCAAGGCUUUGAUCGGUAGCUGGUCUGAGAGGACGAUCAGCCACACUGGCACUGACACACGGGCCAGACUCCUACGGGAGGCAGCAGUGAGGAAUAUUGGGCAAUGGGCGAAAGCCUGACCCAGCAACGCCGCGUGAGGGAUGAAGGCCUUCGGGUUGUAAACCUCUUUUCUGGGAGAAGAGACAAGGACGGUAUCCCAGGAAUAAGUCUCGGCUAACUACGUG
RNAcentral lists this ribosomal RNA (405 nucleotides) under uncultured bacterium. Its description in RNAcentral is "bacterial SSU rRNA". It matches the Rfam family "Bacterial small subunit ribosomal RNA", at positions 81 to 507 of the family's 1533-position model. The record is from RNAcentral.